Long non-coding RNA from Cyprinus carpio (common carp), 451 nucleotides. RefSeq lists it as uncharacterized. The transcript is spliced from 3 exons. The record is from RefSeq and is a predicted model, not a curated record. NCBI's taxonomy places the organism in Eukaryota, Metazoa, Chordata, Actinopteri, Cypriniformes, Cyprinidae.
CUGGGGGCAGCUCUUCCUCAGACCCAAAGACAGGGACCAGUAGCAGCAACACCUUCAUUACUGUUUUACAUAAUACACCAACACUUUUACCUGUUCCCAUGCAAGUGGUGGCUGAAGCAUAUGCAGACAGUGAAGAAACCCUCUCAGAAGACUGUCCUUUGGAGGAAGAACAUGUAAGUGCAUAAAUACCUUUACACUAAUUUGUAUAUAGCCUACUUGUGUACUGUGACGCGUGUCCCGAGCUCUCAUCAGCGUCGCCCUGGAAACAGAGCAGGCACACCUGCACCUGCUCAUUAUGGGCUGAGCGGUCACACCUGCAGCCCGUUGCAGACGGGCUUUAUAAGCGGCACCGACGAACACAGAGGCGUGAGAUGUCUCCAAAGGACUCAGCUAACAAUUCUCUGUGUUUCUCCUCCAGACAGCAGCGUGUGACCGCCAGCCCGCUAAAGAC